AAAGGACAGUUUAAUAAGCUAUCACUGAACAGAGGGGAUGAGGUGGCUUUAAUAAGAAACACGAGGAGGAGGGGGAUUUAAUCACUCAGGUGAAGUUCAGUUUUACGAAGCACAUGAAAGUAAGUUUGAAAUCCCCUGCGUUCAGCACCACGUAGAUGUGAUACCUUACUAGGAUAAAAGGAAGAAAGAACUCAAAGGCUUUGUUUCCCACUGCACCACACAACCGAGAGGGAUUACUGGGUUUGAAAGCAAUCCUAGCACUGAGAUCAUGUUCUAAAGUGCUGUAAAAAGCUCCAAUUUUCAAACGAUCAAAUAAGAUUUCCACAGAAUCCCUAAGCUACUCUGCAACCAAUGAAUCCCAGCUCUGCAAGCAAAACUAGCAAAGUGUAAAACUGAAAAAUGAACUUCAGUGCCAUAUGAUGGAGCAGGAACUAAACUUGCAUCAACGUGCUAUUUAUUGUGUUCUUGCAAUUUGUAACAUUACUUCCUUAAGAAGCAAUUCCAUCUUUGCUGAACCAUUUGAGUUGCUACUGUAUCGUUUUUAAUUUGGUUAUAAGCUGCAGUUAAUUAAAAAGGACAAUUAAAUAUUAUGUAAAGCAAGAA
Hypanus sabinus (Atlantic stingray) is the source of this 603-nucleotide long non-coding RNA. RefSeq lists it as uncharacterized. The transcript is spliced from 4 exons. Lineage: Eukaryota; Metazoa; Chordata; Chondrichthyes; Myliobatiformes; Dasyatidae. The record is from RefSeq and is a predicted model, not a curated record.